AUGGAAAGAGGUGGCGAGAAGAGGGGAGACAAGGUACCGCGGUUCAGGGGGAAGGUGAGGACCGAGAAAGUGCUGACAGACAAGGCAGCGCCGGCAGGGAACGAGGAGGUGCAGGGCGAAGAGAGGGUGCGGAGCGAUCGGAAGGCCAAUGGCGAGGAGAGUUCCCAAGGCAAAGAAAGGGUCGCCAACGAGAAGGGGCGGGGUCACAGGAGGGGGCGGGGCAAAGAACGGGCUUGGGAAGAACAUCUCCCCCAGGAUGAGGGGGGAGGGCGGAUCGAUAAGGGGAGGGACAAGGCGCAGAAGACUAGCGAGGGGCAAGCUACAGGCGAGAAGUCGAAGCGAGGACAGGGGAAGAGGUGGGGCGUGGGGAAGGUACAGGUUCGGGAGAGGGACGGGUCUAGAGGCAGGAUCUUGUACCUGGGCAGGGCCCGAGCACGGAGAAAGGGGCGGUGCGGAGAAAUGUGGGGGGGCGGGGCAAGACGUGGGGGCGGAGCCAGGCCCAGGUAUGCGAGGAGAGGAACUGGGGGCAAUAAGUGGGGCAUAGCUAAACCGGGAAACAGAAAUAGAGACCGACUGAAGAGUAGGUGUCGGAGGCAGAGCACAGGCAGAGCAAAGAAGGAUAGGACAAAGUUAAGGGGUGAGGCUGGGAGGCGGGGCGAAACCAGAGGUAGGGGCAUGGCCAGGAGCAACAGUAGGGGAGAGCCCUGGAGUAGCCGCAGAGGCGGGGUCCAGAAGAGCAGUAGUUGCCCGCCGGAGGUCUGGAGCAGAGGUGGAACCAGGAGCAAGAAUAGGAGAGAAGCCAGGAGCAAGAGCACAGGCGGAGCCGGGAGCAAAAACAGGAGAGAAGCCAGGAGCGAGAGCAGGAGAGGAACGUGGAGCAAGAACAGGCGAGAAGCCAGGAGCGAGAGCAGGAAAGGAACCUGGAGCAAGAACAGGACCGGAGCCAGGAGCAAAAGUAGGAGUGAGGCUAGGAGCAAGAAUAGGGGUGGGGCCAGACAUCUGAGCAGAGGCGGGACCAGGAGCAGGGACUGGGCGGGGCGCAGGAAGAAGGCGGGAUCUAAGACGGCGCCUACCAAGAACAGUCUGGCCGGCUGGUGA
This 1098-nucleotide long non-coding RNA is filed under the name Bos grunniens (domestic yak). RNAcentral describes it as "lncRNA (ENSBGRG00000026651.1)". Lineage: Eukaryota; Metazoa; Chordata; Mammalia; Artiodactyla; Bovidae. The record is from RNAcentral.